Molecule: ribosomal RNA, 289 nt
Filed under: Leuconostoc mesenteroides
Lineage: Bacteria; Bacillati; Bacillota; Bacilli; Lactobacillales; Lactobacillaceae
Description: partial 16S ribosomal RNA
Rfam family: Bacterial small subunit ribosomal RNA
Source: RNAcentral
UAGGGAUUUUUCCACAAUGGGCGAAAGCCUGAUGGAGCAACGCCGGGUGUGUGAUGAAGGCUUUCGGGUCGUAAAGCAUCUGUCGUAUGGGAAGAACAGGCUAGAAUAGGAAAGGAUUUUAGUUUGACGGUACCAUACCAGAAAGGGAGGGCUAAAUACGUGCCAGCAGCCGCGGUAAUACGUAUGUCCCGAGCGUUAUCCGGAUUUAUUGGGCGUAAAGCGAGCGCAGACGGUUUAUUAAGUCUGAUGUGAAAGCCCGGAGCUCAACUCCGGAAUGGCAUUGGAAACU